RNAcentral lists this ribosomal RNA (253 nucleotides) under uncultured bacterium. RNAcentral's name for it is "partial 16S ribosomal RNA". It matches the Rfam family "Bacterial small subunit ribosomal RNA", at positions 524 to 776 of the family's 1533-position model. The record is from RNAcentral.
UACAGAGGUCCCGAGCGUUGUUCGGAUUCAUUGGGCGUAAAGGGUGCGUAGGCGGUCUGCUAAGUUUGAUGUGAAAUCCCGGGGCUCAACCCUGGAAUGGCAUUGAAUACUGGUGGACUAGAGUACUGGAGAGGAAACUGGAAUUUACGGUGUAGCAGUGAAAUGCGUAGAGAUCGUAAGGAAGACCAGUGGCGAAGGCGAGUUUCUGGACAGUAACUGACGCUGAGGCACGAAGGCCAGGGGAGCAAACGGG